UAAACUGCUUCGCUGAGCGCAGCUGGAUACGCCCGCAGAGGUCCAACCCUGAACAGUUGGGGCAAAAAUGGACACAAUAUUCAAACUUGAUACAGGUCUGAAUUUGGAUUGUAAUUAAAUAUUUGAAAUAUUAUAGUUUCUGAAUAAAUGUAGUCAAUGAACUUGAAAUCGGUUAUAUGAAUUGAAUUUAUAUUCAAUUAAAGAUUUCUUGCUGUUGUGCAAUACUUAAUAAAUCUGUUGCCAGACUAUAAACAAAUAAAGUUCAAUUUCUUCUCAAUGUCAUAUUUGAAAUUUAUGAAAAUCAAUAGGGAGAUUACAUCAAUAGCUAUAAAUAAUUCACCAAAGUUUCAUGUGAACUGCUUAAAGCAUUUUUGAGUUGUUGUCCAAAAACUGGAAAAUCCCCCCUUUUUUAAUGAAUAAAACCCCAUAACUCAGAAAUGUAAAAUGUAAAAUUUAUAAAAUUCUAAAGGGAGCUUACGGAUUGAUAAUUUAGUCUUAGAUGCAAGAUUUUUUUGUCAGUUGUUAGUGGCUUUGAACUAGCUGUCAGUAACUGUGAGUACUCUCAGAUUUGUACUUAGUGUCUUUUUGUUGUUUGGAUGUACAACUACCCGACCACGUCCACUUGUAUUUGUAUUUAUCCAUCUGAUGAGUUUAGCCUCUUUCAACUGAUUUUUAUAGUUCUUUUUUAUAUUGUACUGUUACACCACUGUCCCAGGUUAGGGGGAGGGUUGGGAUCCCACUAACAUGUUUAAGCCAGCCACAUUCUGUAUGUACAUGUAUGUGCCUGUCCCAAGUCAGGAGCCUAUAAAAGUGUAAUUCAGUGGUUGUCGUUUGUUUAUGUGUUGCAUAUUUGUUAUAUUUGUUCAUUUUUUUACAUAAAAUAGGCCGUUAGUUUUCUUGUUUGAAUUGUUUUACAUUGUCAUUUCUGGGCCUUUUAUAGCUGACUGUGCGGUAUGGGCUUUGCUCAUUGUUGAAGGCCGUACUGUGACCUAUAGCUGUUAAUUUCUGUGUCAUUUGGUCUCUUGUGCAUGUGUGGAGAGUUGUCUCAUUGGCAAUCAUACCACAUCUUCUUUUUUAUAUUUACAUCAACAGAUAUAAAAAAUUCACCAAAGUCAAGGUGAGACAACAAAACUUAGUUGUAAGAUCUCUGAAAUUUUUUACAGGGUACGAGUUUUUCUCAUUGUUGGAGAUUGUAUGGUGACAGUAACACCUGUAACUGCUUAAACCCAUUUCUUAUGCACUUUAGUUUGAUAAACUCACUGAAUAUCAUACCACAUCUCCUUAUUUUUAUAUGCAUUACAAUUUACAUGUGCAUGUAAUUGUAAAUAUAUAUAUAUCAGAACAAAAUUCAUUGCGUCACUUUUAUUUAUGCAUCCUUUGGCACAAUACAAGUUCUAAAAUUACACAACAUAAAACAACUAAAUGUUAUUUCAGAUGAAAGUUUUGUUUCAGUUCCAUUCAUAGGAUUUAUUAGAAUUUUGUAUGUUUUGCCAAGUCCAAAAAUUCGCUCUAUGUGACAUAGAGACAUAGUUGACUAAACCACCAGGUGUCGAACAUUCAAGAAUUUUCAGUGUUUCUGUUUUUAUUUGAUGAAAAGGUUGCCUGAGCUCUAGGAGCUUUAGGUUUUAUCACGGGAUAUUCUGUGCUGUCAUUAAUAAUCCAAGU
Long non-coding RNA from Mytilus californianus (California mussel), 1665 nucleotides. RefSeq lists it as uncharacterized. The record is from RefSeq and is a predicted model, not a curated record. The transcript is spliced from 3 exons. Lineage: Eukaryota; Metazoa; Mollusca; Bivalvia; Mytilida; Mytilidae.